AGAGUUUGAUCCUGGCUCAGAUUGAACGCUGAUGCUUUACACUGCAAGUCGAACGGUAACAGGCCUUCGGGCGCUGACGAGUGGCGAACGGGUGAGUAAAGUAUCGGAACGUACCUUUCAGUGGGGGAUAACGUAGCGAAAGUUACGCUAAUACCGCAUAUUCUCUGAGGAGGAAAGCAGGGGACCUUCGGGCCUUGCGCUGAUUGAGCGGCCGAUAUCAGAUUAGCUAGUUGGUGGGGUAAAGGCCUACCAAGGCGACGAUCUGUAGCGGGUCUGAGAGGAUGAUCCGCCACACUGGAACUGACACGGUCCAGACUCCUACGGGAGGCAGCAGUGGGGAAUUUUGGACAAUGGGCGCAAGCCUGAUCCAGCCAUGCCGCGUGAGUGAAGAAGGCCUUCGGGUUGUAAAGCUCUUUCGGCCGGGAAGAAAUCGCAUCGGUUAAUACCCGGUGUGGAUGACGGUACCGGAAUAAGAAGCACCGGCUAACUACGUGCCAGCAGCCGCGGUAAUACGUAGGGUGCGAGCGUUAAUCGGAAUUACUGGGCGUAAAGCGUGCGCAGGCGGUUUUGUAAGACAGGCGUGAAAUCCCCGGGCUCAACCUGGGAACUGCGCUUGUGACUGCAAGGCUAGAGUAUGGCAGAGGGGGGUGGAAUUCCACGUGUAGCAGUGAAAUGCGUAGAGAUGUGGAGGAACACCGAUGGCGAAGGCAGCCCCCUGGGCCAAUACUGACGCUCAUGCACGAAAGCGUGGGUAGCAAACAGGAUUAGAUACCCUGGUAGCCCACGCCCUAAACGAUGUCAACUAGGUGUUGGGAGGGUAAAACCUUUUAGUACCGGAGCUAACGCGUGAAGUUGACCGCCUGGGGAGUACGGGCCGCAAGGUUAAAACUCAAAGGAAUUGACGGGGACCCGCACAAGCGGUGGAUGAUGUGGAUUAAUUCGAUGCAACGCGAAA
Molecule: ribosomal RNA, 955 nt
Filed under: uncultured beta proteobacterium
Lineage: Bacteria; Pseudomonadati; Pseudomonadota; Betaproteobacteria
Description: bacterial SSU rRNA
Rfam family: Bacterial small subunit ribosomal RNA
Source: RNAcentral